Molecule: ribosomal RNA, 498 nt
Filed under: uncultured bacterium
Lineage: Bacteria
Description: partial 16S ribosomal RNA
Rfam family: Bacterial small subunit ribosomal RNA
Source: RNAcentral
GACGAACGCUGGCGGCGUGCCUAAUACAUGCAAGUCGAGCGGACGGAUGGGAGCUUGCUCCCAGACCGUCAGCGGCGGACGGGUGAGUAACACGUGGGCAACCUGCCUGUAAGACUGGGAUAACUCCGGGAAACCGGGGCUAAUACCGGAUAACUCUUUCCCUCACAUGAGGGAAAGCUGAAAGAUGGCAUCUCGCUAUCACUUACAGAUGGGCCCGCGGCGCAUUAGCUAGUUGGUGAGGUAACGGCUCACCAAGGCGACGAUGCGUAGCCGACCUGAGAGGGUGAUCGGCCACACUGGGACUGAGACACGGCCCAGACUCCUACGGGAGGCAGCAGUAGGGAAUCUUCCGCAAUGGACGAAAGUCUGACGGAGCAACGCCGCGUGAGUGAUGAAGGUUUUCGGAUCGUAAAACUCUGUUGCCAGGGAAGAACAAGUACCGGAGUAACUGCCGGUACCUUGACGGUACCUGACCAGAAAGCCACGGCUAACUACGUG